AUGACAGACUUCCAAAACCUCUCUGCACAAACUGAAUGCUUAAACCGCGCCCACCUAAUUCUGCUGCCAAAAAUAGAAGAAGCACAUACACCAGGAUCCUACCGCCCGAUCUCUCUCCAAAACUGUCCCGUCAAAGCCGCCGCCAAGAUCCUCACCAACAGAUUAAAACCACUGAUCCCACUGCUUGUUUAUGGAAACCAGACUGGCUUUAUCUCAGGCCGUUGCAUCGUGUAA
RNAcentral lists this ribosomal RNA (234 nucleotides) under Triticum aestivum (bread wheat). RNAcentral describes it as "partial small subunit ribosomal RNA". Lineage: Eukaryota; Viridiplantae; Streptophyta; Magnoliopsida; Poales; Poaceae. The record is from RNAcentral.